RNAcentral lists this ribosomal RNA (462 nucleotides) under uncultured bacterium. Its description in RNAcentral is "partial 16S ribosomal RNA". It matches the Rfam family "Bacterial small subunit ribosomal RNA", at positions 28 to 507 of the family's 1533-position model. The record is from RNAcentral.
GACGAACGCUGGCGGCGUGCUUAACACAUGCAAGUCGAGCGGAAAGGCCCUUCGGGGUACUCGAGCGGCGAACGGGUGAGUAACACGUGAGUAACCUGCCCCAGACUUUGGGAUAACCCUCGGAAACGGGGGCUAAUACCGGAUACGACACAGCUUCGCAUGGGGUCUGUGUGGAAAGUUUUUCGGUUUGGGAUGGGCUCGCGGCCUAUCAGCUUGUUGGUGGGGUGAUGGCCUACCAAGGCGACGACGGGUAGCCGGCCUGAGAGGGCGACCGGCCACACUGGGACUGAGACCCGGCCCCGACUCCUACGGGAGGCAGCAGUGGGGAAUAUUGCACAAUGGGCGGAAGCCUGAUGCAGCGACGCCGCGUGGGGGAUGACGGCCUUCGGGUUGUAAACCUCUUUCAGCAGGGACGAAGCGUAAGUGACGGUACCUGCAGAAGAAGCGCCGGCCAACUACGUG